Molecule: long non-coding RNA, 1102 nt
Filed under: Cercocebus atys (sooty mangabey)
Lineage: Eukaryota; Metazoa; Chordata; Mammalia; Primates; Cercopithecidae
Description: lncRNA (ENSCATG00000045701.1)
Source: RNAcentral
GUCCAUCGGAAUUUUUUUGUCAUCUUCCUGAUAGAGUGAACAUUUACAUGAUUUUUAUCUUCUGGCAAAAAGCUUGAACAAUAUUGCCUGGGUUGACCCUGACAGUGCUUUGCACAGUGAUCUUCAGAUUGUAAAAGAAAAAGAAGGGAUAGGAGACAUUUUGCUCAACUUAUCUUUUAAGAAACUGUUGUGGUUGUCAACUGGAUUGUCUUCCUAAAGUAUGAAUCCGGUAUAUAUUGAUUGAAGUUGUUAAUGGCUACUUCUUUACGGAUUCAUAUGGGGGAACGAAUGAAGCACACAGGCCUACAACAAAAAACAAAACAUGAAAAAAACAGGAAGGUAUGUGUUGGGUGGAGGAGCAUUAUAUAUGGAACUUCUCACAAAACAGCUGAAAGAGUAUCAGCAGAGGAACAGCCCUGGUGUUCCGGCAGGAGUGAAGACGAAGAAAAAAACUGGAAGUAGCCCUGAGACAACCACUUCUGGUGGUUGCCACUCACCUGAGGAUUCCUCCUCCAACUCAUCCUCUCUAUAUGCGCCUCAGAGCCGGUACCAAGAACUAGCAGUAGCCCUGGACUUAAACUCUGCGACAAUCAAUCACCUUAAUGAAAACAUAGAAUCAUUGAAACAGCAGAAGAAACAAGUGGAACAUCAGCUGGAAGAAGAAAAGAAAGCGAACAAUGAAAUACACAAAGCGCAAAUGGAGCAGUUAGAGACAAUCAACAUCCUCAUGUUGGAAAAGGCAAACUUGAAGACCACCCUUUACCAUACUAAACGUGCCGCCAGACACUUUGAAGAAGAGUCCAAGGAUCUGGCCAGCCGCCUGCAAUACUCCUUGCAGCGUACUCAAGAAUUGGAGUGGGCUCUCUCUGCUGUGUCUACACAGCAGCAGGAAGAGGACAGGAUGAGUCCAACCAGCUGUCCCGUCCCCUGGCAGCCUGGCUUGCCAGAUGGAGGAGUGAGCCUAAAGCUCCCUUCUGCAGGAUGCAGUGUCCUGCCCAGAAGGCAGCAGGAUCAUUUCAAGCUGCUUUUGUGUUUGGUUGUUAGAGGCAGCCUGGGGCUGAGUCAGCUGCUGUGGGUGUGUUGGGGGCACUGUGGGCAGUGA